GUGGGGAAUCUUGCGCAAUGGGCGAAAGCCUGACGCAGCCAUGCCGCGUGAAUGAUGAAGGUCUUAGGAUUGUAAAAUUCUUUCACCGGGGACGAUAAUGACGGUACCCGGAGAAGAAGCUCCGGCUAACUUCGUGCCAGCAGCCGCGGUAAUACGAAGGGGGCUAGCGUUGCUCGGAAUUACUGGGCGUAAAGGGCGCGUAGGCGGUUCAGUAAGUCGGGUGUGAAAGCUCCGAGCUCAACUCGGAGAGGCCACCCGAUACUGCUGUGACUUGAGUACAGUAGGGGAGCGUGGAAUUCCUGGUGUAGCGGUGAAAUGCGCAGAUAUCAGGAGGAACACCAGCGGCGAAGGCGGCGCUCUGGGCUGUAACUGACGCUGAGGAGCGAAAGUGUGGGUAGCAAACAGGAUUAGAUACCCGUGUAGUCC
Molecule: ribosomal RNA, 426 nt
Filed under: uncultured bacterium
Lineage: Bacteria
Description: partial 16S ribosomal RNA
Rfam family: Bacterial small subunit ribosomal RNA
Source: RNAcentral